GUCUUCUGGCCCAACCCCACUUACUCCUCUGUUCCAUGGUUAUAUAAUGGAAUUGUGAACCGUCCGUGAACUUCAUGCGACAAUGUCUAUCGGUUGCUUGACAAGGGAAAUUUUGAUAGUCCUCCCCCCAUCUUCUCUGCGUCACAUCACGGUCUCAUAAAUCAACCAGGCCAGUUUCUCGAUGAUGUCUAUUAUAUACUCUCUGAAACAAGGAUCCACGAUAAACACUAAAAUAUACAGUGACUAUUCUUCCAUCUUCUCAUUACUAACAAUUAUAUUUUCGAGCAAACAGUCAUUUGUCCAC
This is a non-coding RNA of Cinara cedri, 304 nucleotides long. Lineage: Eukaryota; Metazoa; Arthropoda; Insecta; Hemiptera; Aphididae. The record is from the annotation of a GenBank genome assembly.